ACGAGGAGGAGGAGGCGGCGGUGGUGGAGGCGGCGGCCAUGAGGAUGAAUGGUCGUGGGACAUGCAGGCUUUGCCUGUGCAGAGACUUGCUAUGUGCUCGCUGUGCGAAGAGCUUCCUAGGGCCUGGAGCUGCAACUGCGGCAAGGUAGGACGCUGCUUGAGGUGGGCGGCCUCGACCUGGAGAGGGUGAUUAGGUGUCAUGUGUGCGGGAGGGGCGAUACUAUCGCCGUGGGGCAAGUGAUUGAGGGGGAAGAGGGUAGUGUGACUUUGGUGGUGAUGAGGCCAGCCGUCGCCAUGGGCUCAGCUGCCACGGCCGUUGCUCGUGUCGGAGCACCGCCAUCUUCCCCCGCCCUUCCUCUUCGUCGACCUAUCUGGUUUGUGGUUCACAGAGAACGUGGGGCAGCGCUGUCAUCGAGACUGGUUGGUUUAUACAUACGAGGCAGAGGGGUUGAGGGUUGUUUUUGUGUACGAUGGGUCGCCGGGAUCCGGAUUCGACCGGGUCGCUGCUUACCUCAGGCAUCAGUGAACUUUUCGCAUCUUUUAAUUGUUUUUACCACCAAGUACUCUAUGGAUAAAUGUCUAAUACCACCAAAUCCUGACGACAGCGCUGUCCCAUGUUCUCUGUGAACCACAAACCAGAUAGGUUGACGAAGAGGAAGGACGGGGGAAGAUGGCGGUGCUCCGACACGAACAAUGAC
This is a long non-coding RNA of Asparagus officinalis (garden asparagus), 698 nucleotides long. RefSeq lists it as uncharacterized. The transcript is spliced from 3 exons. Lineage: Eukaryota; Viridiplantae; Streptophyta; Magnoliopsida; Asparagales; Asparagaceae. The record is from RefSeq and is a predicted model, not a curated record.